Molecule: unclassified non-coding RNA, 400 nt
Filed under: uncultured bacterium
Lineage: Bacteria
Description: contains 16S-23S intergenic spacer region
Source: RNAcentral
UCCCCGUUACCGGGGCAGUCUGACUAGAAAAAUCCAACUAGCCAUAAGGGUUGCGCUCGUUGAUGGACUUAACCAAACAUCUCACGACACGAGCUGACGACGGCCAUGCAUCACCUGUCACUGCUUGCCCCAUACUCACUUUGAUGGGAUCUGAAAUUUAUUCAGCAUCAAAAUGACUAUGGGGCACAUUUUCCUUUCGGAAAACUUGGCAGGAUGUCAAACCCUGGUAAGGUUCUUCGCUUAUCAUCGAAUUAAACAACACGCUCCACCGCUUGUGCGGGUCCCCGUCAAUUCCUUUGAGUUUUAAUCUUGCGACCGUACUCCUCAGGCGGGAUGCUUAACGCGUUAGCUUCGCAACUGAGAGGGUCGAUACCCCCAACUGCUAGCAUCCAUAGUUUAC